This 361-nucleotide transfer RNA is filed under the name uncultured Microcystis sp. RNAcentral's name for it is "partial 16S-23S ribosomal RNA intergenic spacer". The stretch from base 136 to 209 matches the Rfam family "tRNA". The record is from RNAcentral. Lineage: Bacteria; Bacillati; Cyanobacteriota; Cyanophyceae; Chroococcales; Microcystaceae.
AAAGGGAGACCUAAUUCCAGUAGGAGACGAAAAAAAAGUAGUCCCUACCAAGAAUCAAUCCCAAAAGGUCGGAGCGAGGCAAAAUUGGCUUUCAAACUAGGUUCUGGGUUCACCCAAGACCUGAAUCAGGAACAAGGGCUAUUAGCUCAGGUGGUUAGAGCGCACCCCUGAUAAGGGUGAGGUCCCUGGUUCGAGUCCAGGAUGGCCCACCUGCACAGGUGGCAAAAACAAGAGAAGCGAGGAAUCAGCACCUUAUCUUACUGACAUAGUAAGAGAGAAUGCUGGCUCUGAGUAAAGAGUCCAGAGGAACCUUGAAAACUGCAUAGAGCUAGGUGAAAAAGCCAAAAAAGAAGACCGCAAG